GCCAUUUAUUAUCUUUCCUAUUAAUAAACAUACCUCCAAAAAUAUAUCUUUAAACCAUUUUAGACUCAAACUAUAGAUUCCCCAGAUCGCUCGCCCCUCGAUUAAUUACCAAUUUAUGAUGCGACCAAAGGGACCUGCUGAUCCCAGUUAUCCCUGCCUGCAAGGAUAUGCCAGCCACCCACAAAAGCCCAUUGUUCACACCCCAUUUGGAGAGUGGAAUCUGGAAGCGAACGAACAACAGCCCAAUUCACACCCAUUAAGUAAACCUCCAGUGCAUAUUGUCUCUGGGUCAGCACAAAUCGUAAACAUAUUGGCCGCAUCUUCUCAUAAAUAAAUACGAAAUACGUAGAA
Molecule: small RNA, 351 nt
Filed under: Drosophila ananassae
Lineage: Eukaryota; Metazoa; Arthropoda; Insecta; Diptera; Drosophilidae
Description: GF27577
Source: RNAcentral